GUGCUCGCUUCAGCAGCACAUACUCUAAAAUUGGAAUGCUACAGAGAAGAUUCGCAUGGCCCCUGCGCAAGACAUUUCAAAGCACUGAAAAAUACUUUGUGAAU
Molecule: small nuclear RNA, 104 nt
Filed under: Chinchilla lanigera (long-tailed chinchilla)
Lineage: Eukaryota; Metazoa; Chordata; Mammalia; Rodentia; Chinchillidae
Source: RNAcentral